This 497-nucleotide ribosomal RNA is filed under the name uncultured bacterium. RNAcentral describes it as "partial 16S ribosomal RNA". It matches the Rfam family "Bacterial small subunit ribosomal RNA", at positions 27 to 507 of the family's 1533-position model. The record is from RNAcentral.
GGACGAACGCUGGCGGCGUGCCUAAUACAUGCAAGUUGAGCGCUGAAGGUUGGUACUUGUACCAACUGGAUGAGCAGCGAACGGGUGAGUAACGCGUGGGGAAUCUGCCUUUGGGGGGGGACCACCAUUUGGAACGGAUGCUUAUUCCGCCUUAAAACUUUAAAAACCAAUUUUUAGGUUUAAAGGUGCAAAUUCCUCACUCCAAGAUGGUCCCGCGUUGUAUUAGCUAGUUUGUGAGGUAAAGGCUCACCAAGGCGAUGAUACAUAGCCGACCUGAGAGGGUGAUCGGCCACAUUGGGACUGAGACACGGCCCAAACUCCUACGGGAGGCAGCAGUAGGGAAUCUUCGGCAAUGGACGAAAGUCUGACCGAGCAACGCCGCGUGAGUGAAGAAGGUUUUCGGAUCGUAAAACUCUGUUGGUAGAGAAGAACGUUGGUGAGAGUGGAAAGCUCAUCAAGUGACGGUAACUACCCAGAAAGGGACGGCUAACUACGUG